RNAcentral lists this ribosomal RNA (302 nucleotides) under uncultured bacterium. Its description in RNAcentral is "partial 16S ribosomal RNA". It matches the Rfam family "Bacterial small subunit ribosomal RNA", at positions 508 to 807 of the family's 1533-position model. The record is from RNAcentral.
GCAGCAGCCACGGUAAUACAGAGGGUGCGAGCGUUAAUCGGAUUUACUGGGCGUAAAGCGUGCGUAGGCGGCUUCUUAAGUCGGAUGUGAAAUCCCUGAGCUUAACUUAGGAAUUGCAUUCGAUACUGGGAAGCUAGAGUAUGGGAGAGGAUGGUAGAAUUCCAGGUGUAGCGGUGAAAUGCGUAGAGAUCUGGAGGAAUACCGAUGGCGAAGGCAGCCAUCUGGCCUAAUACUGACGCUGAGGUACGAAAGCAUGGGGAGCAAACAGGAUUAGAUACCCCCGUAGUCACUGUCUCUUAUAC